CAAAAGUUUUUAUACUUUCAAUUCAUUUACAACUUGAUAUUAGCAAUAAUAAAACCAAGAGAGUUCUAUACAUUAGUUCACAAUUUCAGCAUCCAACACCUAUCUUUGAGUAGAGAAGCUCUUUGUCUCUUUGCUGUAGAGAUAAUACAGAAAAUACAAUUAGCAUUUCUCUUAAGUAAAACUUAUUUUAAAAAGUCAAAUGUAAAAAGGAUAGAGCAGGGUAUCAUCAUUUAAACAAUUCAACAACAAAACUUAAUCAGAGAUCAAGAUGGAGCCAUUUUAAAAGCAUAUUAUAUUCAAAUUAAAUCCUAAUCUCUGCAUAUAUAUUCAACAGUAAGCAAGCAAAGAAAAAGGGGAAGAACAGAAAAAUAGCCAUAAGAAAAAUUUCAAACCAAAAUAUUGAAACAUUUUUCAAACAACAAACAUACAAAAUUUGGAAUACUAAGCAUCAAAUUUCAUUAGAACCAUAACCUACAGAGAUCAAAAAUUUUGAAACAAUCCAAAAGGACGAAUUUUUGAAGCAGCCUAAAACAUCAGAUCUCCCUCAAACAUUUUUUAUAGCAGUACUCACAGAGAAGAAAAAAAGGGGAAGGAUUCGAAAUCGCACAAAAGUGAAGCUUACCCGAAAUUAGCUUUGAAGCAAAAAAUUUAUUUGGUAUCCAUCUCUGAAUCUCUCUUUCCUUUCAUUUUCAUUGUGAUGCUUGUGAACUGAGUGUUUGACUUAUUAAGUGUUGAUUUUCGAAAGUAAUAGUUUUGAUGAAUCCUCUUAUGAAACCGGCACAAAGUUUUUUUUUCUCUCAACUUGAAUGUGUGUAUUUCUUCAUGACUUUCGAACAUAUGAUGGUGUACCAGUGAAUCAAUCUUUGAUUUCAGCCAUGAAUGUAGGUUGAGGUUUCGUUUCCGUUCUUUUGAUUUUGGUUAGAGGGGAUCGUUUGGUUUUUUUUUUGUUGAAAUUGAUUAUAAAGGGGUGAUUUUAUUUCAAUUUGUGUUGGAGCUGUUUAAAAGGGAUUUGUUCUAUUUCAUUUGAUUCUAUUCAUUUUUGUGAGGACUUGAAUUUGUUUCAACAUCGUGAGAUGGAGAUGGAAGAAAGGGUGGUGUUUGGUUUCAGAGAGAGAAACGGGAUCUAUUAGUUGCUUUUUUUUUUCAUUUAAU
RNAcentral lists this long non-coding RNA (1152 nucleotides) under Lathyrus oleraceus (garden pea). RNAcentral describes it as "Pisum sativum (pea) long non-coding RNA (PSAT_LNC021023)". Lineage: Eukaryota; Viridiplantae; Streptophyta; Magnoliopsida; Fabales; Fabaceae. The record is from RNAcentral.